CGUGCUCGGCCUGCUGCGGGGAGAUCAGGUGGACGUGGGUGUCGAUCGCGCCGGCGGUGGCGAUCAGGUGCUCGCCGGAGAUCGCCUCGGUGCCGGGGCCGAUCACCAGGCGCGGGUCGACGUCGUUCUGGGUCUGCGGGUUGCCGGACUUGCCGAUGCCCGCGAUGAGGCCGUCCUUGAUCCCGAUGUCGCACUUGACGACGCCGAUCACCGGAUCGAUCACCACCACGUUGGUGAUCACGGUGUCCAGCGCGCCCUGCGCGGCGGUGGCCUGCGGGUCGGCGCCCAUGCCGUCGCGCAUG
Small RNA from Kitasatospora setae KM-6054, 302 nucleotides. It matches the Rfam family "5' ureB small RNA". NCBI's taxonomy places the organism in Bacteria, Bacillati, Actinomycetota, Actinomycetes, Kitasatosporales, Streptomycetaceae. The record is from Rfam.